GGGGCUGAUCGGUUUCGACGGUGGUCGUGCUUCACAGUGAAGCGGGCCGAGGAUGAACGUUUAUCUCGUAAACGCUGCGUUCGAAAAUAUAGUUGCCGAUACUUCGCGCAACGACUUCGCCCUCGCCGCCUGAGCGAGCCCGAAGUCCGUGGGCCUGCACACCGCUUCCGGUGCAGUAACCCGCGUCGUCUAGGAAGCCACUGCUGGGUGCUCUCGCCGAUGGAGCACCCGGGACUUUUAGUCGGCUGGGCCUGUCCACAAAUGUGUUGGCGCUUGUGUGGGGGCCGAGAAAAUCCAUUCGCCAACUGCGCCCGGAGAAGCCUGCGAAAAACGCCACCGGACCCGGGUUCAAUUCCCGGCAGCUCCACCU
This 370-nucleotide transfer-messenger RNA is filed under the name Cellulomonadaceae bacterium. It matches the Rfam family "transfer-messenger RNA". From Rfam's summary of the family: Bacterial tmRNA, also known as 10Sa RNA or SsrA, is named for its dual tRNA and mRNA-like properties. Its role is to liberate the mRNA from a stalled ribosome. The record is from RNAcentral. Lineage: Bacteria; Bacillati; Actinomycetota; Actinomycetes; Micrococcales; Cellulomonadaceae.